This 318-nucleotide long non-coding RNA is filed under the name Trifolium pratense (red clover). Its description in RNAcentral is "long non-coding RNA (TPRA_LNC007502)". Lineage: Eukaryota; Viridiplantae; Streptophyta; Magnoliopsida; Fabales; Fabaceae. The record is from RNAcentral.
CCUCUCACUCUGAAGAAAGAUAUGAAACUUGUUUUAUUUCAAAAUUAUCUUAAUCUUAUACUAAAUUAAAAUAUCAUGGAUAAAACUUAAAGCUUUGGCUUUAAGGAGUAUCAAUCUUAGGGGGAGCUUGCAAACCUCUUAAACCUAAGUGAAACAUGAUAAGUUAAUUUAACAACAAUUGUCCAUUAAUACUUAUGUUUGUCAUCAUCAAAAAGGGGGAGAUUGUUGGAACAAAAUUGAUUUAAAAAUGUUAGCCCCUAAAUCUAUAAAGGUUUUGAUGAUAACAAAGUAUUAAUAAACAAUUGGAAGGACUAAAAA